UGCAGAAUCCCGUGAACCAUCGAGUCUUUGAACGCAAGUUGCGCCCGAAGCCAUCAGGCCAAGGGCACGUCUGCCUGGGCGUCACGCAUCUCGUCGCCCCAACCCUCCCGUGCACCAUCUGGUCCGGGGGAGUCCAGGGGCGGAAAUUGGCCUCCCGUGCCCGUGCGCGGCUGGCCUAAAAGCGAGUCCCUUGCGACGGACGCGAUGACAAGUGGUGGUUGAUUGUCUCAACUCGAGCGAUGUCAUCGUUGCCCCGUCAAAAGAGAAGACUGCCCUGACCCUGUAGCACGUGCAUUCACGACACAUGCCACGACCGCGACCCCAGGUCAGGCGGGACUACCCGCUGAGUUUAAGCAUAUCAAUAAGCGGAGGAAAAGAAACUAACAAGGAUUCCCCUAGUAACGGCGAGCGAACCGGGAACAGCCCAAGCUUAAAAUCCGUCGACUUUGUCGUCUGA
Molecule: ribosomal RNA, 457 nt
Filed under: Blackstonia perfoliata
Lineage: Eukaryota; Viridiplantae; Streptophyta; Magnoliopsida; Gentianales; Gentianaceae
Description: eukaryotic LSU rRNA
Rfam family: Eukaryotic large subunit ribosomal RNA (bases 317-457)
Source: RNAcentral